AGUGUAGUGGUUUACGCAUUUGCCUAACAAGCAAAAGAUCCCUGGUUCAAUCCUGG
This 56-nucleotide transfer RNA is filed under the name Oreochromis niloticus (Nile tilapia). It matches the Rfam family "tRNA", at positions 9 to 63 of the family's 71-position model. From Rfam's summary of the family: Transfer RNA (tRNA) molecules are approximately 80 nucleotides in length. Their secondary structure includes four short double-helical elements and three loops (D, anti-codon, and T loops). Lineage: Eukaryota; Metazoa; Chordata; Actinopteri; Cichliformes; Cichlidae. The record is from Rfam by way of RNAcentral. RNAcentral also lists the same sequence under 1 other name.